GACGGAAGGUGCAAGCGUUGCUCGGAAUCACUGGGCGUAAAGGGUGCGUAGGCGGCUUGGUGGGUCUGGUGUGAAAGCCCCGGGCUCAGCCCGGGAAGGGCGCUAGAAACUGCCGAGCUCGAGUGCCGGAGGGGAGAGUGGAAUUCCUGGUGUAGCGGUGAAAUGCGUAGAUAUCUGGAGGAACACCGGUGGCGAAGGCGGCAUCCUGGACCAACACUGACACUGAGGAGCGAAAGCCAGGGGAGCAAACAGG
Molecule: ribosomal RNA, 253 nt
Filed under: uncultured bacterium
Lineage: Bacteria
Description: partial 16S ribosomal RNA
Rfam family: Bacterial small subunit ribosomal RNA
Source: RNAcentral